This 354-nucleotide long non-coding RNA is filed under the name Equus asinus (donkey). RNAcentral describes it as "lncRNA (ENSEASG00005033884.1)". The record is from RNAcentral. Lineage: Eukaryota; Metazoa; Chordata; Mammalia; Perissodactyla; Equidae.
GCUGUGGGGUGUACUGUGUGUGCUGUGGGGUGUACUGUGUGUGCUGUGGGGUGUACUGUGUGUGCUGUGGGGUGUACUGUGUGUGUAGAUCUGGGUGUACUGUGUGUGGAAAAUGGUGCAUGGUGUGUGCACCGUGGUGUCUUGCCGGGUGCACUGUGGCAUGUGCACUGUGGACUGGCACUGGGUGCACCCGGCCGCGUCCGCAGAGAAGCCCUUGCUCUAGGGCGAGGGCCGCAGCCUCACUCAAGGGAAGGCAGAUCUUGGGCUCGCGGCAGAGCCACGUCAAUGGAAACCAGAUGGACGUGUGGGCAGCACACGAGGUUUAGAGAAUUCCUGCUGGCCGGAUGUGGGAAA